RNAcentral lists this ribosomal RNA (253 nucleotides) under uncultured bacterium. Its description in RNAcentral is "partial 16S ribosomal RNA". It matches the Rfam family "Bacterial small subunit ribosomal RNA", at positions 524 to 776 of the family's 1533-position model. The record is from RNAcentral.
UACGUAGGGACCGAGCGUUGUCCGGAUUCAUUGGGCGUAAAGAGCUCGUAGGCGGCCACUCAAGUCGAAUGUGAAACCUCGAGGCUUAACCUCGAGCCUGCAUUCGAUACUGGGCGGCUAGAGUCUGGUAGGGGGAUCUGGAAUUCCUGGUGUAGCGGUGGAAUGCGCAGAUAUCAGGAGGAACACCGGUGGCGAAGGCGGGAUCCUGGGCCAGUACUGACGCUGAGGAGCGAAAGCGCGGGGAGCAAACAGG